GCUGUUGAGAAUGUGUGUGCAGCUCACAGGGCUGGCUUCAAGCCUCCCGAGGCUUUUCUCAGAUAAAAAGGUUGUUCACUACCCAGUUCCUGAGAGAAAAACCUCAGAGACAUGUCCAGUGCUGUUUGCUGGUGAAUAUGAAUCCAGAGGAUUCUCUGAGGAGGGAAAAAGGAAAAUCUGUAUUUUGAAGUAAACAAAGAAACUCUUCUGCCUCUUAACGCUAGUCUGAAACAGGAAGAUGUUGUGAAUACAGCAUGCUGGAAAUCAUUUAUGCAUCUGCCAUGAAAUACCUGGAAGAAGAAAAGAACCUGAAUGGAAACUGCCUUAUCAGGCACCAGCAGAAUCAGUCAUCACAAAUCGAGGCUCACUGCCAUGAAAGAGCCAAUAAGGAAAACAGGACUGGGUUUGGAAAGGAGAUGGAAAGCUUGCACCUCUCACAAAAUGCAGGCUCCA
Molecule: non-coding RNA, 453 nt
Organism: Sturnus vulgaris (Common starling)
Lineage: Eukaryota; Metazoa; Chordata; Aves; Passeriformes; Sturnidae
Source: RefSeq, a predicted model, not a curated record